UAUUUACUUGAUACUUCUAUCUGUCAACUAUAGCUGCCGACGGAUACUUUCGUUUGAAGACAACUUUGUUCAAUUAAAAGUAAAAAAGAAGGGAAGAGGGUGUACAAUUUCGAAUCUCCUACCUUGUUUGAUUUGUGGAGUCGAUCAGGUGUGAGUAUGGUUUGGCGAUGAAUCGGUUUUAACAAUUAAAUUUUGUUUCGCGAUUAGUUACUCGAUGUUUCGGAUUUUUCGAACUUAAUUAACAAUUUUAUUAAACGGAAUUACAGUAUGUACUAGAUUGUUUCUUUGACGCAGACGGAUCGACUUGCGAAUGAACAAAAGAAUAAAUGAAUCACCGAAUCUCAAGUUAAUACCGAACCUUAAGUGCAAGACUCUUACAAUACUGUUUAAGUUAAACUCACUGUUUCCAACUAAGACUGACUUCUGACUGCUCUCAAUUAAAACUGAACUCUAACUAUUUUCAACACUACUUUCAAUUAAAUUCUGAACUUGGUAAAACCAGCUCUGACCUCAAUUAAAAACUGCACUCCAACAACUACUCUAUUGAGUACUGAAUCUCUAUUUAUAUUCUUCCUAAUUGUCACGUGACCGAUUAUUUCUUUUGUAAUUGUACCAUUACUACGUGACAAUUUAUGAAUUUCGUAACUACCUAUUUCCGCUGGGGUUCUUGUUUUCUUGAUUAUCUCACCCUUUGCUUGGUGUUAAUGACAUACAAGGUGCUUGAAAGAAUGUACAUGUUACAGGUGGUCGUAUUUUGCUGAUGCUGCGUCUGCGUUCUUUCCAUGACCUUCGUUACUGAUACCAGUGGAAUGUGCCGGUCGCGUGGCUGCUUGGCCUUGCUGAGGUUGCAUUUUGUGUGUCCAGUGAUCGCCCUGCUGAUGUCGGUGAAUCGUACGAGGUUAUAUUGAAUCAUGGAUACUGACAUGUCUGGAGCUGUAGAGUGUAAGAAAAAGAAAAGGAAUAGAAAAGGUCCGUUUUCCGGAGGAAAUUCCUGAUAGAGUGUUGGAAGCCUAUCUAUUUCUAUUUUAUUUUCCAUCUUACCCUCGUAUAUUAAUUAUAUCUAUAUAUAUGAAUAAUAAACUAUGUUUAAUAAAUUUUAUUAAAGAAUUUCCAUUUUCA
Long non-coding RNA from Bombus terrestris (buff-tailed bumblebee), 1119 nucleotides. RefSeq lists it as uncharacterized. NCBI's taxonomy places the organism in Eukaryota, Metazoa, Arthropoda, Insecta, Hymenoptera, Apidae. The transcript is spliced from 3 exons. The record is from RefSeq and is a predicted model, not a curated record.